UUGGCCAAAAAGUUCGUUUGGAGUUUUCUGCAACAUCUUUCAGAAGAACCUGAAUGAACUUUUUGGCCAA
Molecule: microRNA precursor, 70 nt
Filed under: Tursiops truncatus (common bottlenose dolphin)
Lineage: Eukaryota; Metazoa; Chordata; Mammalia; Artiodactyla; Delphinidae
Description: miRNA (ENSTTRG00000024268.1)
Source: RNAcentral